RNAcentral lists this long non-coding RNA (536 nucleotides) under Theobroma cacao (cacao). Its description in RNAcentral is "long non-coding RNA (TCAC_LNC005059)". The record is from RNAcentral. Lineage: Eukaryota; Viridiplantae; Streptophyta; Magnoliopsida; Malvales; Malvaceae.
UUCUAUUCAUUGAACAGGAGAUUGCAUCCAUGCGUGCUACUUGUAAAGAACAGAGAGUCAGGAAUGAGAACUUGAAAAGAAUCAAGGUGAGCUAGACUAACUUUGAUGCACUAAGUUGACAUGAUUAGUAUAGAUUCAUUAAUCAAUAUCUUACGAAAAGAUAGGUUUAAUGAUGGAAAUGUGAACUUACUUGUAUUGCAGCUUGAUUUGAACUUCCAUACUGCAAAGAACUCGAGUUUAAUUGUUGAUGAACCGGAGGAGAAAGUACCUUGUAGUAAAUUUUGCCAGAGAGUACCCUCCUCUCUUGACUACAUUCCCACGACCACCUUGCCAUCACAUUCCCUGGAUGAUCGAAAGCCACUGUUAGAUUCUUGCGAUGCAGGGAAGGCUGAUUCUAGUGGGGACAGUUAUUUCUUACUGCCUGAUCUAAAUAUGAUGCCUGCUGAAGAUGAUUCCGGCACCGAAAUGUUAUAUGGGACUAGCUGAGAAAAGAUGAGCUGACUACUUUACCCCUUCUCGCAGCCAAAGGGUGUGAG